AUGAAGGUGUUGAGAUUUAGCUUCAAAUUUGUGGUCUGGAAGAACAGGGAAAUCGUGACACGAAUUUGGCAUCGUGACACGAUUUCGUGAUGCCGUGAGCUGGUUUGCAGGGUGCCAAAUCGUGACACGAUCGUGGGAAAUCGUGACACGAUUUGCAAACUUGCUCGUUAAGUUUCCAUGAUAAGGACUGGUCGUACCUUGGGACAGAUGCACCAAUCGUGACACGAUUUUAUCAGUGGAGGGCUAGUAUUUAAGUGUUCCUGUGCAGAUUUGAAGAAGGGUUGGAAGAGAGAGAAACUUGGGAAAUCAAAGGGAGAAACUCUAGGGUUUAGAGUCUUUGAUUAGAGCUUCUCUUGGCUUGGGAAACAUGGGAAACACCUUGAAGAGAGAAAAUCAUCGAGUGUCUUGGUGAGAUUGGGAAAAGGGUAGAAAUUAGGGUUGUUCAUUGUGAACUUGUCAAAUCUAAUUUCUUGUAACUCUUUUUGUAUCUCUUUUGUAAGAACUCAUUGAUAGUGAAUUGGAGAGUACAAUCUCUCCUCCAUAGUAGGU
RNAcentral lists this long non-coding RNA (549 nucleotides) under Medicago truncatula (barrel medic). RNAcentral describes it as "lncRNA gene43581". Lineage: Eukaryota; Viridiplantae; Streptophyta; Magnoliopsida; Fabales; Fabaceae. The record is from RNAcentral.